This 253-nucleotide ribosomal RNA is filed under the name uncultured bacterium. Its description in RNAcentral is "partial 16S ribosomal RNA". It matches the Rfam family "Bacterial small subunit ribosomal RNA", at positions 524 to 776 of the family's 1533-position model. The record is from RNAcentral.
UACGUAGGUGGCAAGCGUUGUCCGGAUUUAUUGGGUUUAAAGGGUGCGUAGGCGGUCUUAUAAGUCAGUGCUGAAAUAUCCCGGCUUAACCGGGAGGGUGGCAUUGAUACUGUAGGACUUGAGUAAAGUUGAGGUUGGCGGAAUUGACGGUGUAGCGGUGAAAUGCUUAGAUAUCGUCAAGAACACCUAUUGCGAAGGCAGCUAACUAAGCUUUAACUGACGCUGAGGCACGAAAGUAUGGGGAUCAAACAGG